This 194-nucleotide unclassified non-coding RNA is filed under the name fungal sp. RNAcentral's name for it is "partial internal transcribed spacer region". The stretch from base 1 to 46 matches the Rfam family "Eukaryotic small subunit ribosomal RNA", at positions 1786 to 1831 of the family's 1831-position model. Lineage: Eukaryota; Fungi. The record is from RNAcentral.
AAGUCGUAACAAGGUUUCCGUAGGUGAACCUGCGGAAGGAUCAUGAAUGUACAUGGGCACGCCGUACGGCUGCCUUGUCAUGUGUGAACACACCACGCCUUCCCACUGGCUAGACAUAGCUGUGGGGCAUAUACGAAUGAAUGCAGGGACACGAUAUACACAUACAACUUUUAGCGAUGGAUCUCUUGGCUCUC